Molecule: ribosomal RNA, 442 nt
Filed under: uncultured bacterium
Lineage: Bacteria
Description: partial 16S ribosomal RNA
Rfam family: Bacterial small subunit ribosomal RNA
Source: RNAcentral
CCUACGGGUGGCAGCAGUGGGGAAUAUUUGGCAAUGGACGCAAGUCUGACCCAGCAACGCCGCGUGAAGGAAGAAGGCUUUCGGGUUGUAAACUUCUUUUAAGGGGGAAGAGCAGAAGACGAUACCCCUUGAAUAAGCCACGGAUAACUACGUGCCAGCAGCCGCGGUAAUACGUAGGGGGCAAGCGUUAUCCGGAUUUACUGGGUGGAAAGGGAGCGUAGACGGCAAUAAAAGUCGGAAGUGAAAUACCCGGGCUCAACCUGGGAAUUGCUUUGGAAACUGUAUGGCUGGAGUGCUGGAGAGGUAAGCGGAAUUCCUAGUGUAGCGGUGAAAUGCGUAGAUAUUAGGAGGAACACCAGUGGCGAAGGCGGCUUACUGGACAGUAACUGACGUUGAGGCUCGAAAGCGUGGGGAGCAAACAGGAUUAGAUACCCGGGUAGUC